Molecule: ribosomal RNA, 488 nt
Filed under: uncultured Bacteroidota bacterium
Lineage: Bacteria; Pseudomonadati; Bacteroidota
Description: bacterial SSU rRNA
Rfam family: Bacterial small subunit ribosomal RNA
Source: RNAcentral
UAUGGGUUGUAAACUGCUUUUAUAAGGGAAUAAAGUGAGAGUCGUGACUCUUUUUGCAUGUACCUUAUGAAUAAGGAUCGGCUAAUUCCGUGCCAGCAGCCGCGGUAAUACGGAAGGUCCGGGCGUUAUCCGGAUUUAUUGGGUUUAAAGGGAGCGUAGGCCGGAGAUUAAGCGUGUUGUGAAAUGUAGACGCUCAACGUCUGCACUGCAGCGCGAACUGGUUUCCUUGAGUACGCACAAAGUGGGCGGAAUUCGUGGUGUAGCGGUGAAAUGCUUAGAUAUCACGAAGAACUCCGAUUGCGAAGGCAGCUCACUGGAGCGCAACUGACGCUGAAGCUCGAAAGUGCGGGUAUCGAACAGGAUUAGAUACCCUGGUAGUCCGCACGGUAAACGAUGGAUGCCCGCUGUUGGUCUGAAUAGGUCAGCGGCCAAGCGAAAGCAUUAAGCAUCCCACCUGGGGAGUACGCCGGCAACGGUGCAACUCAAAA